RNAcentral lists this ribosomal RNA (505 nucleotides) under uncultured bacterium. RNAcentral's name for it is "partial 16S ribosomal RNA". It matches the Rfam family "Bacterial small subunit ribosomal RNA", at positions 28 to 507 of the family's 1533-position model. The record is from RNAcentral.
GACGAACGCUGGCGGCGUGCCUAAUACAUGCAAGUAGAACGCACAGUUUAUACCGUAGCUUGCUCCACCAUAGACUGUGAGUUGCGAACGGGUGAGUAACGCGUAGGUAACCUGCCUGGUAGCGGGGGAUAACUAUUGGAAACGAUAGCUAAUACCGCAUAAUAUUGAUUAUUGCAUGAUAAUUGAUUGACAGAUGCUAUUGCAUCACUACCAGCUGGACCUGCGUUGUAUUAGCUAGUAGGUGAGGUAACGGCUCACCUAGGCGACGAUACAUAGCCGACCUGAGAGGGUGAUCGGCCAACCUGGGACUGAGACACGGCCCAGACUCCUACGGGAGGCAGCAGUAGGGAAUCUUCGGCAAUGGACGAAAGUCUGACCGAGCAACGCCGCGUGAGUGAAGAAGGUUUUCGGAUCGUAAAGCUCUGUUGUAAGAGAAGAACGGGUGUGAGAGUGGAAAGUUCACACUGUGACGGUAUCUUACCAGAAAGGGACGGCUAACUACGUG